ACGCGCCUACGGGGCGCAGCAGUGAGGAAUAUUGGUCAAUGGGCGGAAGCCUGAACCAGCCAAGUCGCGUGAGGGAAUAAGGCCCUACGGGUCGUAAACCUCUUUUGCCGGGGAGCAAGGGCCGGGACGAGUCCCGGUCCGGAGAGUACCCGGAGAAAAAGCAUCGGCUAACUCCGUGCCAGCAGCCGCGGUAAUACGGAGGAUGCGAGCGUUAUCCGGAUUUAUUGGGUUUAAAGGGUGCGUAGGCGGGCUUUUAAGUCAGCGGUAAAAAUUCGGGGCUCAACCCCGUCCGGCCGUUUAAACUG
RNAcentral lists this ribosomal RNA (305 nucleotides) under uncultured bacterium. RNAcentral describes it as "bacterial SSU rRNA". It matches the Rfam family "Bacterial small subunit ribosomal RNA", at positions 333 to 635 of the family's 1533-position model. The record is from RNAcentral.